ACCUGCCCGGUGAUAGUUUUAAACGGCUGCGGUAUUCUGACUGUGCGAAGGUAGCAUAAUCACUUGCUUUAUAAUUGAAGGCUGGUAUGAAGGGUUUGACGAAAGUAAUGCUGUCUUGAUUAGAUUUUUUAGAAUUUAACUUUUAGGUGAAAAGGCCUAAAUUUAAUUAAUAGACAAGAAGACCCUAUCGAGCUUGAAGGAAUUAAUGGAUGAGAGAUGAUAAAGCAUGUAUUAUGUAAUUUAAUUUUAUUAAGGUAUUUUAGUUGGGGUGACUGGGGAACAUAUAGAGCUUCCUUGAAAGGUUGUUUUAUUAUAAUUAUUGAUCCAGUAGUGUGCUGAUUUUUAGAUCUAGUUACCGUAGGGAUAACAGCAUAAUCUUUUUUGAGAGUUCUUAUCGAAAAGAAGGUUUGUGACCUCGAUGUUGGAUUAGAAUUUCCUGAGGGUGUAGAAGCUCA
RNAcentral lists this ribosomal RNA (455 nucleotides) under Tudorella sulcata multisulcata. RNAcentral's name for it is "partial 16S ribosomal RNA". It matches the Rfam family "Bacterial large subunit ribosomal RNA", at positions 1857 to 2565 of the family's 2925-position model. Lineage: Eukaryota; Metazoa; Mollusca; Gastropoda; Littorinimorpha; Pomatiidae. The record is from RNAcentral.